This 230-nucleotide ribosomal RNA is filed under the name Escherichia coli. RNAcentral's name for it is "partial 16S ribosomal RNA". It matches the Rfam family "Bacterial small subunit ribosomal RNA", at positions 1193 to 1422 of the family's 1533-position model. Lineage: Bacteria; Pseudomonadati; Pseudomonadota; Gammaproteobacteria; Enterobacterales; Enterobacteriaceae. The record is from RNAcentral.
UCAUGGCCCUUACGACCAGGGCUACACACGUGCUACAAUGGCGCAUACAAAGAGAAGCGACCUCGCGAGAGCAAGCGGACCUCAUAAAGUGCGUCGUAGUCCGGAUUGGAGUCUGCAACUCGACUCCAUGAAGUCGGAAUCGCUAGUAAUCGUGGAUCAGAAUGCCACGGUGAAUACGUUCCCGGGCCUUGUACACACCGCCCGUCACACCAUGGGAGUGGGUUGCAAAA